AUAACAGCGUUAUUUUUUUUUAGAGUUCAAAUCGAAAGAAAAGAUUGCGACCUCGAUGU
RNAcentral lists this transfer RNA (59 nucleotides) under Harmonia axyridis. Its description in RNAcentral is "tRNA-Trp". Lineage: Eukaryota; Metazoa; Arthropoda; Insecta; Coleoptera; Coccinellidae. The record is from RNAcentral.